RNAcentral lists this ribosomal RNA (1478 nucleotides) under uncultured Mycoplasmataceae bacterium. RNAcentral describes it as "bacterial SSU rRNA". It matches the Rfam family "Bacterial small subunit ribosomal RNA". Lineage: Bacteria; Bacillati; Mycoplasmatota; Mollicutes; Mycoplasmatales; Mycoplasmataceae. The record is from RNAcentral.
AUUAUCGCUGGCGGCAUGCCUAAUACAUGCAAGUCGAACGAGAAUAUUUAUAUUCUAGUGGCGAACGGGUGAGUAAUGCAUAUCUAACUUGCCCCAAAGUGAGGAAUAACUAUUAGAAAUGAUAGCUAAUACCUCAUAGAAUACAGGAAGGCAUCUUCUUGUGUCUAAAGGAGCGUUUGCUUCGCUUUGGGAUAGGGAUAUGUUGCAUUAGUUAGUUGGUGAGGUAAGGGCUCACCAAGACGAUGAUGCAUAGCCGGUCUGAGAGGAUGAACGGCCACAAUGGGACUGAGACACGGCCCAUACUCCUACGGGAGGCAGCAGUAGGGAAUUUUCCACAAUGGACGAAAGUCUGAUGGAGCAAUGCCGCGUGAGGGAUGAAGGUCUUCGGAUUGUAAACCUCUGUUGUAAAGGAAGAAUAGGUAGAAGAGGAAAUGCUUUUAUUUUGACGGUACUUUACCAGAAAGUCACGGCUAACUAUGUGCCAGCAGCCGCGGUAAUACAUAGGUGGCAAGCGAUAUCCGGAUUUAUUGGGCGUAAAGAGUGCACAGGUGGUUUAUUAAGUCUAGAUUUUAAUGCUGAAGCUCAACUUCAGUCCGGUCUAGAAACUGGUAAACUAGAAUACAGGUGGGGGUAAUGGAAUUUCGUGUGUAGCGGUGGAAUGCAUAAAUAUACGAAAGGAACACCAGUGGCGAAGGCGGUUGCCUGACYKKWAAUUGACACUUAAGCACGAAAGCGUGGGGAGCAAAUAGGAUUAGAUACCCUAGUAGUCCACGCCGUAAACGAUCUAUACUAGCUGUCGGCAGAAGUCGGUGGCACAGCUAACGCAUUAAGUAUAGCGCCUGGGUAGUAUGCACGCAAGUGUGAAACUCAAAGGAAUUGACGGGGACCCGCACAAGCGGUGGAUCAUGUGGUUUAAUUCGACGAUACGCGAAGAACCUUACCAACAUUUGACAUACUCAGCAAUGCUAUGGAGACAUAGCGGAGGUUAACUGAUGUACAGGUGGUGCAUGGUUGUCGUCAGCUCGUGUCGUGAGAUGUUCGGUUAAGUCCGGCAACGAGCGCAACCCUUAUCCUAUGUUACCAGCAUUUAGUUGGGGACUCAUGGGAGACUGCCUGGGUAACCAGGAGGAAGGUGAGGAUGACGUCAAAUCAUCAUGCCCCUUAUAUGUUGGGCUACACACGUGAUACAAUGGCCAGUACAAAGGGCUGCAAUACUGUGAAGUGGAGCAAAUCCCAUAAAGCUGGUCCCAGUUCGGAUCGAAGUCUGCAACUCGACUUCGUGAAGUUGGAAUCGCUAGUAAUCGUAGGUCAGCCAUACUACGGUGAAUACGUUCCCGGGUCUUGUACACACCGCCCGUCAAACCACGAAAGUCGGUAAUGCUUGAAACCGCUGUUCUAACCAAUUUAUUUUGGAGGAAGGCGUCUAGGGUAGGAUUGAUGAUUGGGGUUAAGUCGUAACAAGGUAGCCGUAAUCUCUA